Molecule: long non-coding RNA, 8688 nt
Filed under: Vitis vinifera (wine grape)
Lineage: Eukaryota; Viridiplantae; Streptophyta; Magnoliopsida; Vitales; Vitaceae
Description: long non-coding RNA (VVIN_LNC003904)
Source: RNAcentral
UGUUUUUUCCUUGCUUUCUAGGCUGUUUGUGCUUUCCACUCCGUCCAGUACUCAUUUUGCCCUUGUAGCCGCUGGAACUGCCAAAGAAGGCUUAGUCCUACUGCACCCUUCAUUCAAAAAAUGGAAGCUUUCUCCCUGCUACUAAAGAAAAGAACCCAAAGAAGAGGGCAAAGAUGAUGUGUUCUCUUCCAUCGAUGAUACGACCAAGUGUGAGACUUAAAUUAUAAAUAAUGAGUUCUAAUAAAGAGGGAUCAUCCGACCAGGGGUCCAUCCAAUAAAAAAAGAGAAUGAAUCUUCCUGCGGAUCAGCUGCAUUUAGGCUCCCCUUUAUAGGAUUCUAGUGGUUAGCUUCUUUGGCAUCUUAACUUUAUAACAUUUAUAGCCUAUUUCUAAAAACAACGAAGAAUUCCUUGUUGAACCGGCAAAUCGGAUCACUUUUAUCUUCCUCUAUCUCUAAAAGGGCAGGGUCGCUACUUCCUACUAGACACGGAGGAAGAGCAUUGGACACAUGUAAGCUGCGACGGAAGAAGGGGACUACUAAUAUAAAAGACAAUGGGCGCUUAGGUCCCUAUCAUCAGUUGGAUUGCCAAUCAACUGAAAACCUUCUCCCUCGUCGACUUAGGAAAAGAGGCCAAGUUUGGUACAUGCCAAACUUGUCUAUUCGCUUGAAAGCCAACCUUAGGAACCUCAACAGCCUUGACGAAAGAAAGCUGGGCUUCUUGAACGAGAGCUAAUCCGAUCUAGGAAGUUGGACUCACCAGGCCUAAUAGACUCUAGCUUCUCCUUGCUUGAGAAAGAGAGACUGAUUGGAUUGAUAUUAGAGUAAUCUCUCCCUGUAACUACAACUCGAAAUUCAAUAAAAAAAUCAAACUAAGGAUUGCUAAGCUAUAUUCAAGGUAUGUCUAUUGGUAUGCUUGUUGAUUUAUUGCUUUUUUGCUAGGAUUUUUUAAUUGAGAUUUUGUUGGUGUUACAUCUAUAGCACCUCUUUGAUCGAAAGGAAGAUCUAGUUCUUCCGAUUAGAAAAGCUAGAACCAGAACUUAGAUAGAUAGGCCCCCUAGAACCUAUUUCCCGCCCCUUAGUGGCCGAUGGUGAAGUGCCUUACAGGAAGAGGUAAGGUAACGCUCAAUAAUUUCAUAAAAAAAAUCCUUUCAACAUAGUCCAUGCGGUCGGUCAAAUGCAUUUCACCAAGUGGAUAAGUGCCAUCUACUACGGUAUGACCACAUAUAUUUCCUGCCUGCUUGUAGCGCUUACCUGCUUUCACCGAUUGGAUUAAUUGCUUUUACCUAGGACAUGCCCCUGAACUAGUAUCUCUUUUCUUGGUUAUUUAAAUAUGCGAAUCCAAACCCUUUAUUUGUAUUCAUAGGUUCGGUCAUCUUAAUCGGUUCUCGAUUUAUGGUCUAGUAGCAGGAUUUGACCUUCUUAUCACUUUUUCUGAUAUUAGUAAGAGAAUCAUUUAUGUUUAAAAAGAAUAGUCCACUUGAUAAAGGGAAUGCAACCUUAACUCCUAAGCUUUGAAACCUGUCCAAUCCCAUGUCUUAAGCUAAGUGAUUAACCUUUAUAAAGUGCUACGAAUCGAUUCACUCGUCUAUUAGUAAUAAAUCCAAUUCGAACAGAAAGACCCCUACCGGACCGGAGGUUGCCCAGGCGGAUGAGAAGAUCUGAUGUCAAAGACGAGUUUGAUUAGAAUUCUAACUCUGAACGAAGAACCAAGUAUGAUUUUGCAUAAGACCAUUGUACUCCUCGGUCAUGGCUUGAGGCCUGUGAGGGGACUUGGCAACCUCAGUAUAGCUGGUUGGUUCAGAGGGAGAAGCAGAUGUAGGAAGUUAAAUAUAACGCGGUUCAUAGCUUUAGUAGCUGUAGUGAGAGUAGUCGAUCUUGGAGGAGGAGUAGGUCUUGGCCUUGGCAAGCUGCCCUUCCUUCUUGCGGUAAGUCAAGAAUGAAUGUUGUCCCUCUACUUUCUUAGUAUAUCUGUCGCUCACUGAAGAUCAUAAAAUCUCUUUCGCCCUCUUGUCGCUAUGUCUUUCUCUCGUGCUCUCGUCGCUCUGUUUUCAGUCUUUAUGUCCAUCCUUUUUGCCUGAUAAAUUAAGUAACUCAAGCCAUAUAAUAAAGAGAGAGGCUUACCCUACCUGUCGUCUUGGAGAGGGCGGUAGGGAAGUCACUCGAGAGCAGAGGCUUUGUUGAGAGAAUAGGGGCGAUAGCGGUAAGAACUGGUUCAGAAAGUGGGCAGGACUUUUCCCCUUUUUUUUUUAAGGGAUGGAUGAAUUUAGAUAGUGAUGAUGGUAGAGUUUGAACUUUUCCCAACUAAUGCAAGGAAAGGAACUGAACUACUAUUCUCUAGGAAGAUCUUGACUAAGAAAAUUCAGAUAGAGAGUCUAGGGUUGGUUGUACAUGCGACUGAUCUAAGGCACUCUCAGAGUUAGAAGUCUUUUAAGAAGCAGUAGACUGAGAGGCUUUGGCAGAAUGGAUCAUACUUUUAGCUCUCAAGGUGCUUUCCUUGAGCUCCACCAUCCGGGAUGCUAGUUUUUUUAGGAUGAUUUUUUCGUGUAAGUCAGGGGAGUGUUGAGCCAGAGUAGAGAUUGUUCAACAUCGCUGAGAGCAUCCGAGUGAAGAAUUUCUUCAAAUGGCAUGCUGAAAUAUUUUCUGAGUGCUUCUCUUUAUUCUUGCAAGAGAUAAAGACCGGUAGGCAGGCUAAGGUCAGAGAUUCAAUGCCCGAGGGAGGUCCUCGAGACUUAACCCUCUCUGAGAGCUUGGCCAGUAAGCUUUUGGACAUUGAAUGUACACUCGAGGAGGACUGAACAGAUGUAGAGGAUCCUGACAAACUUGAGGAAAGCACACCUUGUUGAAUGGACAUCUGAGAUUGAAGAUGAUGUCAAAAGUUAGCCAAGAAGGUUUAUGGCAAACUGGAAGGAGUAAGAAGGGAUAAAUGAUCUACCUCAGGUCCGAGGAACCUAUAUGAAGAGGACGGUUUUCCCAAUGAUUCGUUCCCAAUUGGUGUCUCAGCUGAUUCAUGUCCAGCUGGUGCUCCUUGACUGAGGAAGUGAUCAACAAAAUUUAUAACCUAUAUCACCAUGCAUUAGGAUAGCUUUAGCUAAUAUAGCAUAGUGGCUCUAGGAUCGUUCACUAGGAAGGGUUUUCAACUCACAACUGAUACCAAUUCAAAGCUGAGUUGGUGCUUUUUCAUUUCAAGGUUAGCUUUAAAAGAAAACAUAAAGAUGUUUAAGUGAAAAGGGUUUGGUCUUAAACUAACCAAAAAGAAAGUAAUGGAAAUUACUUAUGAAGAAAAACAUUCCUUUGAGGUUUGGAUUCACAGGGGAGGUUCCUUAUGCAAAAACAGAGCUCCGGUCAUUUGGUUCAUUUCCUCGCAUUAGAAAAUUAACAUAUAGUCAAUUCUCUAACCGGUGUUGUACAGAUGUAUCCUUUAAAUAGAUUCCAGCUCUAAUUCCCUCUCACUGAUGCAACUUGCAAUGGCUCGUGCCUCUCACCUAGCAUUUUCCAUUCAAAGUGAUCUUUAACUUUGGACUUCCCUUCUCAAGCUCGUAAGAGAUAACUAAUGGAUGUCUCCUUGGAGUCCAAAAGCUUACCAAGUGUUAGCAAUUCUAGAAAAUCCUACCUUCAAGUCCCUUCCCAAAAGCUCGCAAGAGGUAAACUAGUGCAUCUCCAUGGACGGAGAUCACUUGCUUUACCAAGUGUUGGCUCAAGUGAAUUGAAAGUGUUUUAAGUUAACUAAAAACAUAGAAAUCAUUAAAGGAUCACACUUUCUCUUCAUUAAUGACUGAAACCACAAAGCUACUAAUUCUUGCACUUGGAACCUUUCCCGGCAACCUUAACUCCAAGGAACUAAAAGUCUAGCCACUCAUUCUCUGAGGAAACUUCCUCAGAGCUUGUUUGGCUAGUAAGAAAACUAACGAGAAAACAAUUAUAUGAAGGAAAAACAGAGCAAGUGCUCUGUGAAUUAUAUUUCUUUCUUCUGCUGAUUACAUAAUAAUCUUUUGUAAAGAAAAUUACAAACUAUAUAUAUGAGGUUAUUCACCCCUUUGUUCUUACUUAAAUACUAAGGAAUCCUAUGAUAGGUGGAUUACAAGGAGAGUUUGGAUUUAGACAACAAAUAUCUAAAGCAAAAUAUCACAAGAUGUCGGUUGGAAAUAUCAGGAAGCUUCAGGAGAACACCGCAGCACUGUAUAUUGAGAGAAAAACUCUCCGGGUAAGCGCUAUCAAAGGAUCCGGAUAAGUCUGACCGGAGAAGUUGAAACGUCCUCCUCUCCCAUCCGGCUGUGAAAUGUCGGCGGACGAAAUUCCGGAUGUGAAAUGUCGGCGGACGGAAUUCCGGAUGUGAAAUGUCGCGCGCCGUUAGGCUAUCUGGAUCAACUCCAUCCGGAUUCACCCAAGAGGACAUGUGGCGUGCUCCCCUAUCCGGACUCCCUCAAUGAGAAGCACACAGUACUCGUGAACAUCACACCCGGACAAUAGCAUAUCCUAUCCGGAUAUGUUGUUCGGAUCAUUGACUUCCGCUGCCAUCCGAUGGUGUGUCCGAACGCCUUUUACUCCUUGCAUUCCGGAUUUGCUUAUGGCAAAAGACUUCAAAGCUUCGGUUCUUCAUGUUUCUGAGCUUUCCAUUGCUUUGCCAUGGAUUCCAAAGAACUCUCCUCAUUCUCGAAUUGCUUUGGUGAUCAAAAAGCUAUCAAAACACCAAAACUUAACACAAUUUGAUUAGAAUUGAUUGCAAGGGUCCUUAAUAUGUUAAUUGGGUUAAAAGGUGAUAACUACUACUCAAAAGUGUUUAUAAGAGUUAAUUACAAGCUAUGAAAUAGCACUUUUUGAGUAGUAAUCACCCAAGUUUGUCGAACACCCUACGCCCUGGCUAUUCAAUAGGGAGGAAGGUUGCCACUCGGUUCUAUAUAACGAGCAGAAGGUGAAGGCAUCAGCCUAUCUAUAGAAGUCGAACACACUUUGGGUGGAAGGCAUGGAGAAAAAGGUGCUUUAGGAGCUAUGAUACGCUCCGGCACCUUAAUCUAAGGAUGCGGUACAAUAUUUCCGGAUGCAAGCUUACAAAUAGAAGCCGAUUGAGAUUAAAUCGAACUCGCCAAUGAACCACCAAAUAUGACCAUCCUGAAAAACUCUUAAACAUGAACUUUUGAAGCCACAGGGAGUGCACUUGCUUGUUCCCUACACUUAUCUUUCAAAGUUUAAAUAAAAGAGAAAGAGAGUAGGUGGAAUGAGAUCCGACCACCUACCCCAGGAUCUUUGUGGGUUUUUUUACCCGGCGAACGGAGUGGGAGUUUGUUUUGCCUAUUUACUUGAUUGAGAGUGAGUAGUAACUUAAACGGGAUAAAUAUGGAAAGACUCAAUUAAUGAAGAAGAAAUCCCCUCUUAUAUUAGAUAUUUCUUUAUAAAUAUAUAUAUAAAAUUAUAUAAAUAUAUAUUUAUAUAAUUUUCUUUCCCAUCUUUAAGAGAAAGCUCUUACUGUUAUUCUCGAACUCAGAGCCGGGUGAAGACCGCACAAGUAAGACCAGACUUUAAGAGAUUUUGACCGAUAUGAUUAGAAAUUCUUAGGAGCGAAUGGGCAGCGCUCGCUUGGCACACUGAUGAGAUUUCCCCUUUGACAGAUAGCCUUUCUUUAUUUACUACCACCGGCUGGAGACCAUAUUGCUACCAGAGAGAGGAAUGACUAUAGGCACAAAAUUGGCUUUUAACCCUUUCUUUGCAAGCAUGUGAUGUGCUACUGGCUCGAUGGACAAAGUCUCGCGAAAAAUUCGUAUAAUGAUUAGCUCCUAGCCCCUGCUUCUAUCAUUGGUGAUAUUAUCGUAUAAUAUAAUGGAUCACUCCUGCAGGACUUCUUUCUAUCAAUUUAAUAAUUGCAGGUAUAAAAGAAAGGGAUGGAUGGCCGGGCCAUGAGAAGGAAGACUUUUCUUUUUAUUUUCACAUGCAAGUCUAACGUUGUUUUCGGGAAGAAUCUACGCUCUGUAAACAAAGGUCGACCUUUCUUAUCUAAUCGAAAGGCUAAUUCACGAUAGACGAGUGGGCGAGACGGAAAUGGGGUAUUGUUCACCUACAUCUUUCCCAAUGAGCUGUCUAUCAAAUCAUUGCAAUUGAUGCUCGAUCCCGAAGAGAAAGAAGAGAUCUUCGGAAAGUGGGUUUUUAUGAUCCGAUAAAGAAUCAAACUUAUUCAAAUGUUCCUACUAUUCUAUAUUUCCUUGAAAAAUGAACUCAACCUACAGGAACUGUUCAUGAUAUUUCAAAGAAAGCGAAGGUUUUUACGAAGCUUCGUCUUAAUCAAACGAAAUUCAAAUUCAAUCAAUGAAAUACAAAAAACGAGAGGAUGACUCGUAUAUAGCUUUGUAUAACUUUCUCUACUAUUGCCCCUUUCUCUUGUUCUAUUCAUACCUAUUUAUUAUUGCUCCUGCAAAAUCCCAUGUUCUAUAACGACAAAAAUCUAUCUUAUUGAUAUAAGAUGGAUAGAAAAAAGAUCAAGUGAAUAGAUGAAGGAAUUAUAUCUAUAAAUAGAAAAUUCUGACUUCAAUCAAGUGGUUUUUCUUAGAACUCUACUAACAAACACGGGAUCAAGUUUGUUUAUUAUACAUUCUCUUUAUAUUGAUUGAAUAGAUGAUUGAAUAGACUCAAGAUUUUUUCCUACUUUUUCCUUAUUUAUUUCGCCAUCUACACCUUUUUUGUAUCUAUGUAGAUUAUCUAUAUAGUGCCAAUCCAACACAAGUCCUUAUUUUUUUUUAUUUGAAUUUAAAUUCUGAUUUAUUAAAUUUGAAUUUUUUUUUGUUUUGAUUCCGGUUGUAUUCUUUUCUCAGCAUUCAUUCAUAUUGACAACUGUGUAGAAAACAAAUAUAAUUUGAUCGUAGAUAAAUGAAUCUUUUUUUCUCCGUUCCAUAGGUUUGGUUUUUACUUUACCUCAUUCAAAUGAUGGUUUCGUUGUAUUCGUUGUGCCAUAAGCAGUUUUUUCAAUAAAAAAAAAUGGAUAAGAUAAGAGUUGGUCUAUAAAUUUUGACAUUUAUCUAUCUAAUAACUAAGAAUUUCUUGUAUUUUCACCUGAGCUGUUCAUUUUUAUCUUCAAAAUCGAUUAUAAAAUGUGUGUUUUUUUUAUUUUUUUUAUUUUAUUGCUAGUUCAAUGUUUUGAUUGUGUCGUGUAACCCAAUCUCUUUACUUUAUUUGUUUUGAUUCCGGUUGUAUCUACAUACCCUAAUUAUUUUAAUUGAAUUUGAUCUUAUUCGGGUUGCUAACUCAAUGGUAGAGUACUCGGCUUUUAAGUGCGGCUAGAAUCUUUUACACAUUUGGAUGAAGGAACGGAUUCGUCCAUACCAUUGGUAUAGUUUGUAAGACCGCGACUAAUCCCUAAAAGGGAAUGAAUGGAAAAAACAGCAUGUCGUAUCAAUUAUCAAUGGAGAGUUCUGAGAAUAUAUCAUUGUUACCAGAUCGGCACAAAACCUUGUUUGAAUUGUUAAAGCAGAACAAAAUGAAUUCAAAGUUGGGUUGAGUGAAUAAAUGGAUAGAGCCUUAAUGGCUCCAAUUAAAUUAUAGGGAAACAAAAAAAGCAACAAGCUUCUAUUCUUAAUGUGAAUGAUUACCCAAUCUAAUUAGACGUUAAAAAAAUAUUAGUGCCUGAUGCGGGAAAGGCUUCUCCCAUGAGUCAUUAUAGAUUUUUUUAUGAAUCCUAACUAUUAGCUAUAGCUAUUCUCCAUUAUGGAGUGGAGAUGAAUGUGUAGAAGAAGCGGUAUAUUGAUAAAGAUAAUUUUUUCCAAAAUCAAAAGAGCGAUUGGAUUGAAAAAAUAAAGGAUUUCUAACCAUCUUGUUAUCCUAUAACGAACAUAAAUAAAUUAGAUAGAAAAAGAGAGGAUCAAGGGUCCGUUGAUGAGUCUACCUGUCUCCGAGGUAUCUAUUCUUUUUUUAUUAUGAUUAGAAUACCUUGUUUUGACUGUAUCGCACUAUGUAUCAUUUGAUAACCCAAGAAAUACCCUCGAUUUAUUCAAAUCGAAUCUCAAAUGGAAGGAGUUCAAAGAUAUUUAAAACUAGAUAGAUCUCGUCAACAUGACUUCCUAUAUCCACUUAUCUUUCAGGAGUAUAUUUAUGCACUUUCUUAUGAUCAUGGUUUAAAUAGAUCGAUUUUGUUGGAAAAUGUGAGUUAUGACAAUAAAUCCAGUUUACUAAUUGUGAAACGUUUAAUUACGCAAAUGUACCAACAGAAUCAUUUGAUUUUUUCUGAUUCUAAUCAAAAUCCAUUUUUUGGACACAAUAAGAAUUUUUAUUCUCAAAUGAUAUCAGAGGGAUUUGGAGUCAUAGUGGAAAUUCCAUUUUCCCUACGAUUAGUCUCUUCUCUAGAAGGUAAAGAAAUAGCAAAAUCUCAUAAUUUACGAUCAAUUCAUUCAAUAUUUCCUUUUUUAGAGGACAAAUUCCCACAUUUUAAGUAUGUGUCAGAUAUACUAAUACCUCACCCCAUCCAUCUGGAAAUCUUGGUUCAAGCCCUUCGUUACUGGGUGAAAGAUGCCUCUUCUUUGCAUUUAUUACGAUUCUUUCUACACGAGUAUCAUAAUUGGAAUAGUAUGAUUACUCCAAAGAAAUCCAUUUCCAUUUUUUCAAAAAGGAAUCAAAGAUUUUUCUUAUUCCUAUAUAAUUUUCAUGUAUGUGAAUACGACUCUAUCUUCAUUUUUAUCCGCAAUCAAUCUUAUCAUUUACGAUCAACAUNNN